RNAcentral lists this ribosomal RNA (432 nucleotides) under uncultured bacterium. Its description in RNAcentral is "partial 16S ribosomal RNA". It matches the Rfam family "Bacterial small subunit ribosomal RNA", at positions 29 to 506 of the family's 1533-position model. The record is from RNAcentral.
AACGAACGCUGGCGGCAUGCCUAACACAUGCGAGUCGAACGAGACCUUCGGGUCUAGUGGCGCACGGGUGCGUAACGCGUGGGAACCUGCCCUUAGGUUCGGAAUAACUCCCCGAAAGGGGUGCUAAUACCGGAUAAUGUCUUCGGACCAAAGAUUUAUCGCCUUUGGAUGGGCCCGCGUUGGAUUAGCUAGUUGGUAGGGUAAAAGCCUAUCAAGGCGACGAUCCAUAGCUGGUCUGAGAGGAUGAUCAGCCACACUGGGACUGAGACACGGCCCAGACUCCUACGGGAGGCAGCAGUGGGGAAUAUUGGACAAUGGGCGAAAGCCUGAUCCAGCAAUGCCGCGUGAGUGAUGAAGGCCUUAGGGUUGUAAAGCUCUUUUACCCGGGAUGAUAAUGACAGUACCGGGAGAAUAAGCUCCGGCUAACUCCGU